AACGAACGCUGGCGGCAUGCCUAACACAUGCAAGUCGAACGAGACCUCCGGGCUUUUUGGCGCACGUCGGGGGAACGAGGGGGAACCUGCCCGUAGGUUCCGAAUAACUCACCGUAGGGUGACCUAAUAACGGUGAAUCUCUUAGGACCAAAGAGGUAUCGCCGUGGGGUGGGCGCGCGUGGGUUUCGCCGGUUGGUAGGGUAAUAGCAUACCAACGCGACGAUGCAGAGCUGGUGUGAGAGGAUGAUCUACCACGCUUGGGCUCAGACACGGCCCAGACUGCUACGCGAGGGAGCAGUGGGGAAUAUUGGACGAUGGGCGAAGGCCUGAUCCAGCAACGCCGGGUGAGUGAUGAAGGCCUUAGGGUUGUAAAGCUCUUUUACCCGGGAUGAUAAUGACAGUACCGGGAGAAUAAGCUCCGGCUAACUACGUG
RNAcentral lists this ribosomal RNA (433 nucleotides) under uncultured bacterium. Its description in RNAcentral is "partial 16S ribosomal RNA". It matches the Rfam family "Bacterial small subunit ribosomal RNA", at positions 29 to 507 of the family's 1533-position model. The record is from RNAcentral.